CGGGGCGUAGCUCAGUCUGGUAGAGCGCACGGUUCGGGACCGUGAGGCCGGUGGUUCAAGUCCACUCGCCCCGACCA
RNAcentral lists this transfer RNA (77 nucleotides) under Acidobacteriota bacterium. RNAcentral describes it as "Acidobacteria bacterium tRNA-Pro". It matches the Rfam family "tRNA". Rfam says of the family: Transfer RNA (tRNA) molecules are approximately 80 nucleotides in length. The record is from RNAcentral. Lineage: Bacteria; Pseudomonadati; Acidobacteriota. RNAcentral also lists the same sequence under 6 other names.